CAGUAGCCGCGGUAAUACAGAGGCCUCAAGCGUUGUUCGGAUUCAUUGGGCGUAAAGGGUGCGUAGGUGGCUUGGUAAGUUGAAGGUGAAAUCUCGGGGCUUAACCCCGAAACCGCCUUCAAUACUGCUAGGCUCGAGGACUGUAGAGGAGAAUGGAAUUCACGGUGUAGCAGUGAAAUGCGUAGAUAUCGUGAGGAAGACCAGUGGCGAAGGCGAUUCUCUGGGCAGUUCCUGACACUGAGGCACGAAGGCCAGGGGAGCAAACGGGAUUAGAUACCCGAGUAGUCCCUGUCUCUUAUAC
RNAcentral lists this ribosomal RNA (301 nucleotides) under uncultured bacterium. RNAcentral describes it as "partial 16S ribosomal RNA". It matches the Rfam family "Bacterial small subunit ribosomal RNA", at positions 509 to 807 of the family's 1533-position model. The record is from RNAcentral.